UAUAUAAUAUAUAUAUAUACAUAUAUAUAUAUGUACCUUGAUGGAAUGCCUUAGUUUGCUCUUUAAAAAAAAAAGAGAGAGAGAGAAAGACCAGAAACUCUCCCUUGUCUAAGUUGACCCUGAAGAGUCCUACAGAAGACCACAAGGAAUUCUAAGAGAAGAAUAUAGUAGCGUGGACAACUGGGUUCAGAUGUACAGAAAUUAAGACUCCCUUGAAAAGUGAAGACAAAUGCCUUUGCACUCUCUCCCAUGUCCAGUGGAAAAUGGACAGUCUCUGAGAGAGAAGAGUCAGUAUGGCUGGAACCUGGGUAUCAUCCUAAGGGACCUCUUGGAAUAGCAUUUUUAGAUGUAGUUCUUUGUUGCCCCUGGAUGGCUUCUUCUCUAGCCUUAAGGAUUGACUAUAGCCUCUUAAAAAAAACAGAUGACAGAAAGUUAAACCCUUUUAGAAGCCUAAUGAGAAAACAGAAUCUUCUCUUACUCCAAGGUGUGUGACAACAACGGGAUGACUUUCAAAUCAACUAUGUCAAGGUGAGACCCCAGAUAAAAGACCAAGAUCAGUGCUGCUUGGGCUAAGGAAAAAAUGCGGCUGGAGACCAUCAGGCGAUGGAGUAUUGGUUAGUUGACCAACACCACUGAUAGAAGCUAGACCAGGAAAGAGACGUGUGUGCAUGUGUGUGUCCGUGCUCUGUCAUGCCCAACCCUUUACAACCCCAUGAACUGUAGCCUACCAGGCUCCUUUGCCCAUGGAAUUUUCCAGGCAAGAAUAUUGGAAUGGGUUGCCAUUUCCUCCUACAGGGGAUCUUUUGGACCCAGAGAUCGAACCCGCGUCUCCUGCAUUUGCAGGCGGAUUCUUUACCGCUGUGCCAUAUGGGAAGCCCGAAAGAGAUAUGAGCUAACGCUAAGUGAAUCUCCCUGCUUCCUCUGCCCAGACUCCAACCCCAAACAGGCCUGACAAUUUACAAAGGGAGCUGACUGAGGAGAAUAAAUAUGAAAGAUGAGAAGGGAUUUGCACCCAAAGCCACUCCAAGGGGUUGGAACUGGGAGUCGGGCUACAUUGUUUUACCAUUUCCAUUACUGUUUUGAUAUAUUACUAAUAUUGUACACUCUAGAAAAGCUAGGGUUACAUUUCUUUGUGACCGAAAUUAUUUUACAUCCUUUUGAAAAAAAUACUCUCAUCACUCUUUCUUCCAUCAUUAAACAAGUACCACAAAAUGUUUCUCAGAUACAACAGAUCUUUUUAUCAACUCUCUUACCUUUAAUGAAAAUAAGGAACAACUCUAUUUUAUUUCACUUAUCAAAAGUGUUUUCUCAGUUUCCUCAGACUAUAUACUUAGUAAAAAGUACUAUGAGUGAAAUUAGAGCUUUUUUUUUUAUCCUUAAAUGUUUACUUCCUAAAAUGUUAUAUAAUAAUAUUUCAGUUAAUUGA
Molecule: long non-coding RNA, 1426 nt
Filed under: Capra hircus (goat)
Lineage: Eukaryota; Metazoa; Chordata; Mammalia; Artiodactyla; Bovidae
Description: lncRNA (ENSCHIG00010010169.1)
Source: RNAcentral